Molecule: small nuclear RNA, 108 nt
Organism: Phyllostomus discolor (pale spear-nosed bat)
Lineage: Eukaryota; Metazoa; Chordata; Mammalia; Chiroptera; Phyllostomidae
Source: RefSeq, a predicted model, not a curated record
GUGCUUUCUUUGGCAGCACAUUUACUAAUAUUGGAACGAUAGAGAGAUCACCAUGGCUCCUGUGUAAGGAUGACACGCAAAUUCAAAUUUGUGAAGCAACCCAUAUUU